GACUGGGAUAUACAAAGAGAGGGUUCGAUCGUCCGUCGCCUGUGUUGACGAGGCCGCCGCUUCUUGUGUCCCUUAAGUUCGACAAGAGACGGAUUUAAAGUAACGCGGAAGAAUAAAAGAUGGUGUGCAUUCCGUGCAUCGUUAUCCCUUUCCUGCUCUGGGUCUACAAGCGCUUUCUGGACCCUUACGUCUACCCGCUGGUGGCGCCCUUCAUUGCACGACUCUGGCCGAAGAAGGCGGCCCUUGUCACAGCGGGUGGAGGUGCUCAGGGCAAAGUCUUGGAUGGUGGGGACACUGACAAGGCUGAAGGUUCAUCUACAGUCAGUGGGACGACACAGGAACUGGUCAACGAUAAAAGCAGUUCAGAUAAGAAGAUAGACUGACCUAAUACUCCAUAUGGACAUGUAGGGCCAACUUUUGCACCAUUCUUUUGCGCUUGGAAGUCUAUGGAGGCUCAAGUGUAAUUAAUAUAUGAAUGUAGAGUUAUAUUAUUCAUGUGUAUUCUAUCACAGUAAUUGUUUACCUCUGGUAAAUCACUCAAAAACAUGGCAUUUGAUCUGAGUAAUUAAGAAUAUGUAGUAGGCAUGUGUUACAGUUCAUUGUACAUAUUGUUUGUUUGUGUGAAAGGGUUCUUUUUAAUGGUCUAAAUAUCCAACUCAUGGUGUAAUUUUACAAAAGUAUAAUUUUCUCAUGCAGAGUUGUAAGCGAUAUAUGUUGUUAAAUACCAUUUCAUGUUUGAAAUUCUCCCUUCAUACAGUGAAUACAUUUUUAUCGUGCAACAAGAGUAAUGCUUUUUUUCCAUCACAAACUCAUCUGAUAACUUUUGUGUGUGAAUUGAAUGCAGUAAAUUAAUUUAGAUGUUCAUGGUGCUGUUUGUGAAAAUUGCUUAAUCACCAGUAAUCGGUUGAAACAGGAACCUUUAGUAGAUCUUUACAGAUUGUCAAAUGCAACCACAAUUUGGAGCUAGUGGUACCUGAAGGCUGUCGAAAUGUUGGUGCACACUGAAUUUUAUAGCGAUGUAUUAUUUCCAUUCGAUUUGUGGCAAUAUUUAGAUUCACUGUUACUGCUUCGGUAUGUUUACCUGUAAAGAUGCUGCUAAUAGUAAUUUGUAACAAUGUUUGGUUGCAUUGGACCCCUAUAGACAUUUAUAGAGACGAUUAUUGAAGCCAUAACACUUUUCUUUUAUAUUCUUGGUUCUUUCGGUAAAGUCAGGUUGAAGGGAAACAAUAAAAAAUCUAAAACAAUAAAAUUCUCACGACGUUUCGACUGCAACACAAGCAAUCAUCAUCAGGUGUGAAAACCACAGCAAGAAAAUUUGAAAAAAGGUCGUGAGAAUUUUAUUGUUUUAUAUAUUUUUAUUAUUGUUUCCCUUCUACGUGACUUUACCGAAAGAACCAAGAAUAUGAAUCCCUGCAGUCACGAAAGCUUUAAAUCACUUUUCUUUUACUUUGUUUAUUUUAUUUAUCAACACUUUAAAAAAAUCAGCUGCAAAAACCCUGCAUUCCAGUCAUAUUUUGCUACAAUUCACUAUUGGUCUGUAGUGCACAGACUGCAAAAUAAACCUUUGCCCCAGUUAAAAAAAACACAUAUUCCUUACAUUGAUUUUGAAAUUUGUUUAAAAUAUAAAUUUAUGUCAAUGAUGGAGCACGAGUAAAAAUAUGAAGUUAACGUUUGGGUGUAUGUCCCUUGUUAACAUGCAUUCUAUGAAUAAUAAAAUCGAAUUAACAAUUGAUAUGA
Non-coding RNA from Petromyzon marinus (sea lamprey), 1737 nucleotides. The record is from RefSeq and is a predicted model, not a curated record. Lineage: Eukaryota; Metazoa; Chordata; Hyperoartia; Petromyzontiformes; Petromyzontidae.